CGUCUUUGCCAAAAAACAUGAACAAAAUGCAACAAAAUGAAAUACCUUGAUGCCUCGCUCAAGCCAACGCGUAGAGAUGGCAGCGGUAUGUUGACUCCGGUAACGGGAACUCUCGAUCGUCGGCGCCGGAGAACCUCUUCCGUGACAACCGUAAGAUAUCACGUCGUCUAGAUCCGUUAACCUCGAAUCCACGUCCAACAUUCGAUACGGCGACUUCCGCUAAGACGUUCUGAUCUCCUCCUCCGAUCGUGGAAUUACGAUUCUGAUUCGUCUUCUCUUGAACUGAAGUUAGGCACAAAGAAGACGAACUUUGUCACAACACCCGGCGUCGAUUCCAGACACGCUAGAUUCCGUCACCGGCGGCAGCGAUCCAUUCCAACAACUAUCUAUAUCCGCGCUCCUCAACUAACCUGAAACAAAAAUAAUCGGCCAAAUUGGAGCAACCGCGAGCGGUAAAAGCAAGAUCGGAGGUUUCGUCGGCGGCUUCACUUUGAAAUUCCGGUAAUGAAUGUUGCAAGCUUGAAUCGCCUUUCUCCUCCUUCUUCUUAUAAUACAAUCCUCUGCGGCGAGGUAUUGUUUGCUAUCGAAAAUGGCGGAUGAACCGUCAGAAGGUUGAGGAGGAUUGAAGCGGUGGUUAACCGUUUUGCGAGUUUGUUACGGUGAGGGUUUCGGUUGUGUAAGAUUGGAAGAGAGGUGAAUUAAAGUGGUGAAGGUUGGUGAUGAAUUGAGGUUGAAGGUGGAGGAAGGUUCUGUGAAUGGAGGUUGAAGAAUCCGACAGUUUGUGAUGAAGCUUGCUUUUAUAGAGUGAUGAGUGUGAUAUUAGAAGCAAUUCGGAAGAAAAUUCUGUUAUGAAUUUGUUAUUAUUCUGUGAAAUUAUGCAGGUGUGGAAUUGGCUUUUGCUGGCUCGUGUUUAGCUUGUUGUUGUACCGGCUUAUGGAAGUCUUGGCUACGCAUCGUGUGGUUUAGUGUUUUGCUUUGCGGUUUACCGGCUUGGAAGCUUUAGCUGCGUUUCAAUGUGAAUUUGCAAGUUAUUUUGGAUGGGCGUGUUGCCGGCUUUUGCAGAAUUUCUUGGUUUGAUUGUAGUCGCAGUAAUUUUUGUUGAAUUGUAGUGCGAAUUUGUUUUAUAUGGCAAUUGUCUUGGUAGGGGUGAGCUUUGGUGGCAUGAUGCUUGUGAGGUUUGGAGUUGCUGUACAGUGUUGGAGCUGGCUUUGCAGCAUUUUUCAUGUAAAUGUGAAUUAAGAGAUGUAAUAGUAUUUAAUUGGAUUGUUGAAUUAGAAGUUUGGAUAUGUUUAAAGGUUAUAAAAAAUGGAUUAACCUUGGGUUAUGAACAGAACAUGGAUCAUGGACUAAAGGCAUAAUGAAGAUUUUAUGAUAUGUUAAAUGGAUGUAAAAAAUUUGGAUUUAACUCGAAUGGAUAUGGAUGAAUUAUUUAUCGGAUGUUUGUGAGAUCAGACAGAAAUUCUAAUAACUAAAAUAAUGUCCAAAUUAUUGACUUAAAAAAUAAAUGUCUGAUUAAUUCAGUUAAGAAAAAAGAUCAAAUGACAUGUAAAUCGAAUAAUUCUUCUGAAAGGUUGGNAUUAACUUGGGUUAUGAACAAAAAUGGAUCAUGGACUAAAUGGAUAAUGAUUUUAUGGAUAUUGUAAAAUGGAUGUAAAAAAAUGGAUUUAACGAAUGGAUAUGGAUGAAUUAUUUAUCGGAUGUUAGUGAGAUCAGAAAUGAAAUUCUAAUAACUAAAAUAAAAUGUCAAAAUUAAUUUGCACUUAAAAAUAAUGUUCUGAAAUUAAUCCGUUAAAGAAAAAGAUCAAUGAUCAUGAAAUCGAAAUAAUUCUCGAAAGUUGGUUCGAAUCCCAAGGAUCAAAUUUUGAAUUAAAUCCAAUUUGAGCCUUUAAAAUCCGUUCACAACUUCUAGAAUUAAUUCGAAAAUGACAGGACGACCCCGGAUCACAUGAUUAAAGUUCAGAGGUUGAUGAUUGACUUUGGUCAAAUGGUUGACCAAAAAGUUGACACAGACAAAAUGCAUAUCUUCUCAUGGACAAACGAAUACGGACCCUAACAUCCUGAACCAACGACUUAUGUCAAUGCCAUGAAUCAAUUCAGGUGAACAUCGACCAAACAACCGUUUAUACACAAGAUCCUUGAAUAGCACGAAUCAGGAUUCAAUCCCUAUGACGUGUAAUGCCACAAACUUCAGUCCAACUCCAAUUUUAUCAACCACAAACCCUGAAUCCAUGACGCCUGUCAGCAGAUGAAUGAAUGAAUGCACAUGAAUGAGUAUGAAUGAGGUUAGAUGGAUAUCAAGUUAUAGUCAAAUGAAAAAGCGAAAAGGAGGGCAAAUUUUGGGGUAUGACAGCUGCCCCUAUUUAAUCUUCUCGGACCUGAAUGUAUGGAUAGCAACGGCUUCCAAACAAUCAAGGUAGGAGAUGAUUAAAUACUUGAAUAACAGGAAAUUUGCCUGUCAUGAACAAAUGGAAAGCAAUGUGAGGAUAGGUCACCAGGAGGUCUCUUCACGGAGAAAUGUGGGAUGCGCAAGCUAGUGUUUGUCCAGGGCAGCUGCUGGGAAUCAGAAUGUUAUGUGGUAGAUGGGUAUGUGUGAGGGGUUAGAUAUGCAUGACAUAUGCCAUAUGCUAAUGCAGUAUGAUUGAUUAUUUAAGUCUUUCUCUAAGCUUUUUCUUUUUCCAUUUUCUGUUUUUUCAUUUUCCGUUCUCAUCUCUUUUUCAUUCUUUUCUUUUCUCGCCUCCCCUAUCAUGUUUUGGUAUGCAACAUGUGAUCGAGGUAUUCCCGCAGGAUUCCGUGACGGUAAAAGAAUCAGGUGUUUGCAAAAGGCAAGUACCGGUGGAUAAAAGAAUUGAAAGGAUAUCUCUUGCAAAAGGCAAAGAGACAUUUUGCUAAAGGCAAACAUCUCAACUAAAAAGUUCCAUUUUCUCGCGACAGGUAGCGACGGCUCCUUAGAAAAAGAAAAUGAAUCUCCCAAGUAUAGUUAAGAUAACAAGGAUAAAUAGAUUUCUCUCACAAAAGGUGAUGAGAACUUCUUAACAAAAGGUUAAGAAGUGAAUGGGAAUGAUACGACCUUGUUGGGGGAUAUGGUUUUUUCGUACAACAGGUAGCAACGGCUCCUCUGCACACACAACAAAGGGUCUUCCAAACAAAAGGUUAAGAAGAAAGAUGGUCGAAUUUCUCACACGAAAGGUAGUGAGAACUCCUUAACAAAAGGUUAAGAAGAAAAUGGGGUAUGAGAUUCUCGUACAAAAGGUAACGGGAACUCCUAGACACAAAGUCUGCUGGGGAUUCUCACACAAAAGGUAGUGAGAACUUCUUAACAAAAGGUUAAGAAGGCGCAUGAAGAUGGACAUGAUCCCUCAUACAAAAGGUAAUGAGAGCUCCUUAACAAAAGGUUAAGAAGAAAGGUGAAAGGAUUUCUCAUACAAAAGGUGGUGAGAAACUUCUUAACAAAAGGUUAAGAAGAAAAUUGGAAGGGAUUUCUCAUACAAAAGGUAGUGAGAAACUUCUUAACAAAAGGUUAAGAAGAAAUCGAAAAGGAAAAUCUUCCCAUACAAGAGAUAGUAACGACUUCUUUGUAGGAGGAUAUUUCCAGGCCAAAAGAAGGGAUCACUUACAAAAGGUAAGCAAGUUCAAGAAUGACAAUGCUCGAGCGAAAGGCCGAGGAGACUUACAAAAGGUAAGCAGCUGGGGAUAACAAUCUUUAUGCAAAAGGCACAAAGGGGACUCACGAAAGGUAAGCUAGAAGUGGAAGACCUACCAUGCAAAAGGCAGGGAAUACUUACGAAAGGUAAGUAAAGGAAGAAAGGUCACAAAUAUUUGCACGAGGCAAAACAAAGAGUGGGACAAGACCUGCUAGGUAAAACCUAGACUAAAGGGGAUCUGCCAGACGAAUCUGGGCUUUGGCACACUCUGACAGGUGGGGAACUUUGCAAAUAGGUAUGAAAACCUCAUAUUGUCCCUCAGGCACAACGACGGGGAUGAAGCUCUCAAACAAUGGUUACCCAAACCCCGGGACUCACCAAACCUACAUCAAGUGUUUAAAUAAACGGGAUGCAAAGAUCUGACAAAGGUACCUUUCUCGUGCGAAAGGCAUUGAGGGGGAGACGUGAUUUCGUGCACAAAGCAACGAAAUAAACUCACAAAAGGUAAGUUAUCUCAAUAAUCUUCUCCAGGCGGAAGGCAAGGAGGACUGGCACGAGGCCGAAAAGGACUUACGAAAGGUAAGUGUCUGAUGAAAGACACCAAAGGGUACUUGCAAAAGGCAACACGAAGAGGAAAUAUCUCGGGAAAACCUGCGGGGAGUACCAAUCCAAGGAUCCUUGAUGAUGUUCUCGUUGGGGAGGAAGAACAUAUCAACAACUAAUUUUUUCCUUUUUUAUGCUUUCGAGAAAGACUUUUAUGCAGUUAUGCAUGUUUAUUUUAUAUGGCGUAAUGCUCCAUCUUGAUGGAAUAUGCUACGUCCUUUUGGGGAUGCAAUGUUAUAUAAUGCAUGAUUACUUAUGCAAUGUUGAUGCAGUUUAUGCAAUGGUCUGAAUGUAUUUGGGUACACCAAGUGUGUUUGGGUUUUUGAUAAGGCUUUUUGUAGGGAUAUGACUUCAAAGGUUUAUGAAAUAACAAUUGUCCUCGUCAAAGAGUUGACUGAAAAGGAAGGUCGUCAUCAAAGAGUUGUUGGCCAACAAUUGUCAUCGUCAAAGGGUUGACGGCGGCAUCAAAGAGUUGAUGAAAGGACUGUCGUCAUCAAAGGGUUGACGGCGAAGGAUUGUCUUCAUCAAAGAGUUGAUGGAAAAGGAUUAUCAUCAUCAAAGAGUUGAUGGGAAAGGAUUGUCGUCAUCAAAGAGUUGAUGGAAGGAUUGUCGUCAUCAAAGAGUUGAUGGAAUGAUUGUGCUUAGGUAAUAUCAUCAUCAAAGGGUUGAUGGUUUCAUCAAAGGGUUGAUGGUAGAUAGUCACCAUCAAAGGGUUUAUGGGAUGAUGCUUGACUUUGUAUGCAUAUGAUGCGUGUUAAUUUGAUGCAAUUUUUUCCAUCUCGGCGAGAGAGUUUUUUUUUAUAUGGAACUUCCUACCUCGACAGAAAAGUUAUGCAUGUAUGUUAUAUGCAAUGCAUUUGGAAAUGCAAGAUGGUGAUUAGCUCUUUGGGUUGGUCUCCCUUUUCUAAUGGUGAUAUCCUUUGGGUACCAACAUCGAUUGGAUUUGAAUUUGUGAGGAUGACAACAAAGUGGACUUUGGUUCUUUUGGUGGUUGCCAAUAAAGAUUGGACUUGUGGUUUGGGAAAGGAUUCGACUUCCCGACACUCGAUAUUUGAAGAUGCCAUGAUCAAAGGAUAGACGCGGAUGCCCUUGGUGCCCCAAGUUUGAUCCUCAGUCGAAGGUGCAUCUUUGUUCCCAAGAGAACUUCCAUUCCUUUGCCUGGUAUAUCAUGACAAGCUUGCAAAUGAUUGCAUGAGCGUAGCGACGUAAUCAAUGCAAAAUGAUUGUGCUCUUGUUUUGCCCCAGUUAGUAGGGUAUUCAAAGUAAUCUUCCUUAAAAGGAAACCUUGAGAGGGAUUAUACCAUGACAUGGUCUGAGAUGGUUUGCCCCAGUGUCUGAAUUUGCGCUGGUCUGCUCUUGCAUGGCCCCUUGAGGGAAUUGCCCCUGGUCAUCUGAGCAUUGAGGACUUGUCUCCCUGAUCCAUGAUGCUUGGAGGUUUGCUUUAGACUACCCAACUCUUUUGGCAACACAUUCGUUGGAUGUCAUGCCCCUGAUCCAUAGGGUUAUGAAACAAUCUUGAUUCGGGAUAGCCUCGGUCUCGACGGAUGUUCAAGAUCUUCUCUGAUUGAUCUAUGGAAUCUCCUUGACGUCAAGCACUAACUUGCAGUUAAAAUUGUUCAUUUAAAAAUGGUAAUUUUAAUGUGACAUUCAUGCAAGUUUUUUUUUGAAAGAAUCAUUUAUUUGAGAUGAUUGUAAUGACAAGUGGCGAGUGGACCAUUAGUCCAAACGCAAUGCUGAUUUGGCUAAUGUGAAAUAUGCAUCGAAUAAUAUCAACACAAAAAUAUUAGCAAAAUAUCUAGGAGUCGGUUUACGCAACCUUGCUGCAGUAUGCUUUUCAGAAUAAACCCUGCUUCAAUUAGGUCUUUUGAGGGUUGUAACGUGGCUUAGUUCACGGUUAUUGAAACAAAUGAUAUAAGGCUCAAAUUUGAUUUUAACCCACCCCUUCUUCGUGAUGUUCUCCAGUCCUACAUUCAGCUAAUUUCAACAUACGCAUUCUUCCUCCAAGAGAGUUUGACGAUGUAAGAGUGAAGAUGAUGAUUCAAGGUUCGCUUAAAAUGGCAGUCACCUUAUUUGUUUUGUCUUAAUUGAGGAUUUAACGACCUCUUUUGAUUUCUUUGUCUUUUGUUUUUUUCCUAAUUUUUGCCUGGACCUCUCUUUCGAGAUUUUUGUUCCACCGGGAUUACCCUAAUUUUUGCCUAAGUCACCCAUUUGGGGGUCCGACUUAGCGGGUUUUUGCUUUUUCCUUUUUUCAAGUUUUUUUUGAAGGGUUGUGACUGCCAAGUCAUUGGUUGUUGAAGAACCACCAUCAUAGCUUUUGGAUUCGACACUUCGGGACGUGUGUGAAGAGCAUCAUGUGAUUGAUCCCAAGACGAGAUAUUUCGUCUUGUAAUCCGAAUGCAUAGUCGAAUUAACUAAACACUACCCUGCCCCAGGUUAAGCGUAAGGGUUUUUAGAUCCGAAAGAAACAUCUACUUCUAGGCUCGAAGUGGUUAACUAGGGAUUAACUCCUUAUCUCUCCGGUGUUUGGGGAUUUGAAACAAUGCCUGUACAUCAUCAACAAGGUUUUAUCUGAAAGCAUACAAUCAGCAAUUAUGGAGGGAUUUGAAACAAUGCCUGUACAUCAUCAACAAGGUUUUAUCUGAAAGCAUACAAUCAGCAAUUAUGGGUAUCUUGUUUCGUCAUCCUCCCUCCAAUACUUGCUAAACAACAGUUUAAUAAAGUGAAUGGAAAGAUUUUUUUUGCGAUUUUUUUGUAAAUAAAUGAGAACAUAUGAGUGAAUACGAAUGGAUUCGUUUAAAACAUGCAUGCUCAUUUUUAUUAAUACCACCAUUUAUAAACAACAAUCUUUAAAAGCAAGUAGCACUUAACAACAAAGAGACUACAAAUGCAAAGUAAUGAUGUGAUACGAGGAUUGCCAGUGUUGGGGAACCAAACUUUCCUCUUUCGCAUUGUUGUCGGGCUGGUCUUCUUCAUAGUUGCUCAUCGAGACAAUAUGAGAGAUAGCAUGCACUGACGAACCUUCAUGACUAGGCGAAGGAUUGUUGCUGAUUUGAAGACCUCGAGGCGUAAAUGAGAACAUCUUGGAGUCAAGCAACUUUUGCACCUGGCUUUUCAGCACUUUACAAUCUUCAGUUGAAUGCCCCACCUUCAUGACUAGGCGAAGGAUUGUUGCUGAUUUGAAGACCUCGAGGCGUAAAUGAGAACAUCUUGGAGUCAAGCAACUUUUGCACCUGGCUUUUCAGCACUUUACAAUCUUCAGUUGAAUGCCCCUUGCCCCAGCAUGGAAGUCACAUCGGGCGUUGACAUCAAAGCCUGGUGGGUAUGGUGGAAUCACUGGACGUAGUUCCUUCGGUACUAUCAAUCCAUCUUUGAUCAAAUACGGCAGUACUUGACUGUACGACAUUGGAAGUGGAUCAAAAUGCCUUACUGGCUUCCAUGGCCUUUGUCGAGUGUGUUGACGCUGCUGAUGCGAAGCUUGUCGUUGAUUCCACGGAGAUCCUCUAUUUUCAAGAGGGUAUUGACCUUGUGGAGGGAAUGGCGCCUGAUAUGGAGCUUGUGGAGCUUCCCAGAUUGCGUUAACUUCCAUCUCCUCUUGCUCUUGGGAACUGACAAGGGAUUCAUUCUCACUAGCCUGGAUGUUCGAGAUGUCUUGGUUCUUUCCACUUUUGAGCAUGCUCUCGAUGCGCAUUCCUGCCGACACCAAGUGAGAAAAAUCGGGUGAAGUACUUCCUACCAUCUUUUCAUAGUACGGACCUUGCAAGGUAUCCAUGAAUAAGUCAACCAAUUCUUUCUCCAGAAGUGGGGGUUGAACUUAAGCGGCUAAUUCUCUCCAUCUUUGGGCAUAUCCUCUGAAGGAUUCGUUGCUUUCCUGAGAUAAACCUUGCAACUGCAUACGGCUGGGAGCCAUGUCCAAAUUGUAAUUGUACUGCUUCAAAAAGGCGUUAGCCAGGUCUGACCAUGAUUGGAUGUGGCACUUUUCUAGCUGUAUGUACCAACUCAGUGAUGCUCCACUGAGACUGUCCUGAAAACAACGAAUCAUCAGCUUAUCAUUGUGAGCAUAGGAAGUCAUUCUUCUGCAAAACAUCACCAAAUGUUGCUUUGGAAAACUAUCCCCUUUGUACUUUUCAAAAUUAGGUGUCUUGAACUUUGGAGGCAUUAUCAGGCCAGGCACUAAACACAUGUCUGAAGCAUUCAGACCGAAAGCAUCAUGCUCUUCUAUGGCUUUAAGCUUCUCUUCUAACACCUGAAAUCUUUCAGCAACCUUCACAUCUUGUAGAUCCUUGGUUUUCAUCACUGGGACCGCCCCUUGGGAAUUUUGUGCAGAGAAUGCAAAACUAUGAUACUCAAUAGCAUCACAAGAGGAGUGUCCGUCUCGGACAAUGGGACGCUCUUGUAUAAUCUGGUCCUCGACAGGGAUCUGUACAGGGUGAGUUUGGGCAAGAUUGUUUACUUGAGGUGGAACGCCGUUCUCAGUUCUUACCGUCCGUUGAACGUUUUCAUCUCUCCUUGCCAAGGCUGUCAUAGCUUCCACGAGUUGGUCCAACUGAUUCUUUAUCACAUCAACAUCCUCCUUUGACGCAAACUGAUUUUGCUCCAUGAUCUUUCAAGUCCGAUAUGAGCGUCGGGAAAUCAACUGCGGGUUAUGGACAAAGGAUGGAUGAGCUUGUUUUUGUUAUGGUUUGGAAAAUGAUAUGCAAAAUGAUGCAUGGAUGUAUGCGAAUUUUUCACUUUGAUGUAUGGAUGGAUGAAUAAAUGAAUGGACGGCAUUCAGGCGAAUAGAUUCAAAAGUUCGAGGUACGGAUGAAGGAUAACACUGGUUGCUUUCCAUAUCAGGGAUCUCACUAGGUAUGAUCUAGGGUUUUAGAUAGGGACCCCAAAGUCAUUGAUUCAUUUGGCUGUUUGACGCUUACGGCAAGAGCUUGUCGGUCGUCAACUCCCUCAAAUGAGCCUCUUCUGGGUGAGAUCUUCGUACCGACCCACGCGAGAAGAGCUUCUCGGGGACCCGCACUACGCGACCAUCGACAUCGGGUUCUAGACAAGGGUCUCAAAGUCAUGGAUUUCCUUGACUGUUUGCCGCUUACGGCUAGAGCUUGUCGGUCGUCAACUCCAUCAAGAAAAUCUCUUUUGAGUGAGAUCUUCGUACCGACCCACACGAGAAGAGCUUCUCGGGGACCCGUACUACGCGACCAUCAAUCUUAGUAGGCCAUAGGUUUAAUGUUCUACAACGGUCCUUAGAGUCAUGGAUCCAAAUGAAGACAUUGAUCGCUUACGCCAAGAGCUUGACGGUCGUCAACGUCUCCAAAAGAAUCUACUCUAAGCGAGGUUCUCGUAUCGACCCUUACGAGAAGAGCUUCUCGGUGGCCCAUACUACUCAACCUCUCCUAUCUCAAGUUUACACUCUAGACUCGGGUAGAGAGUCUUUCCCACAAGGUUACUUGCAAUCGGAGUACCAUCCAUCGAUAUCGUAGAACCAAUGGAACCAUAUACUAUAUUACAAAAUUUAAAGCAAAAGGCAAUAAAUAAAGCAGGCAAUCAAAAGGAUAGACAUACACACAUGCGAGGAAGCAACCUAGAUUAGGCUUGACUUGCUUAGGGAGGUGUCCCCAGCAGAGUCGCCAGCUGUCGCUACGCGAAAAAUAUAGAGUCGCCAUCGGUUUUUAUUUAUUCCAAUGGAAAGGGAAAAUAUCGAGAAAACCCCAAAGUAUGGUCGUCGCAACCACGAACAGGUUCGGAAGUCGGUUAUGCAAGGGGAAGGUAUUAGCACCCCUCACAUCCAUGUUACUCCAUGGGAACCAUCUAGGAUGUUUGCGCUUAUAUGUGUAUUGUUCAUCGAAUGUUUGCUUGCCAAAGGUUUGCGGAGUGGAGGUAGAUUUUAAAUUAAUGUGCUCGCCAAGGAAUGGGUCCUCGUGCCUACGUAUGCCCACUUGUUGAAGUGAGAAAUCAGAGCGUUCGUAGUUCGUGGUUUUGAAAUUGUUUGUGUUUGUUUUGUUGAUUUUAUUACCUUGAAGAAGGGUUUUCGAUUGUGUCGCCCUAAGGCUAAAACAAAAGGUUUGAAUGCGUUGAGUUGUUUUUAAGUUUUGAAGAAAGUGUUAUUGAUUUCGGAUUGCACUAAAGACUAUGGAUAAAGGUGAAUGCCUCAAACGGUCAAGCCGAACGUCUUGUGUUCGAAGCAUUCAGAAUGAGUGUAGGAAAGCUCCAGUCUCAUCCCUUCUUUAUCGCUUAAGGCUCGUGACGUACGAUCCUAAUCGCCAUUUAUUGUGUUUUUGGAUUUGAUUUGGAAAAGACCGCUUGACGUUGGAUCAAGGGUUUGUUCAUUCGUUUUGAUUUGAAAAAUAGACCACUUGACGUUGGAUCAAGGGUUUAAUUAUUGGUUGCGAAAUGGUGAAUGUUCCUAAUGCCUAAGGAGUAACUAUAAAGCAAUAAAAGAAAGCGAGUAAAAGCAUACAUCGAAAUGGGGAUGGGGGUACAUGUAAAGUACAAGGGAGUGCUAAAAAUAAAAGGUCUCGUUGUCAGGUAGCCCAAGAGAAAGUCAUGUGUGUGCAAUUGUGUACUAAACUAGAAAGCAUGCAAUUUGUCUUGAAUUUUGAAAGCUCCUUUCCAUGUUUGGGUUGAAUGAUUGUCCAAGGCCUCUUGCAAAGGGUCCUAAUGAGUCUCUAAGUCCAUUGUCCAAUGUCCCUUACAUGCUAAGGAAUUAUCUUAUUUUUGUAUUUUUUAAGUCUUUGCCUUUUUAUGUUCAUUUUAGAAUGAGAUGAAUAUGUACAAUAUGAGUAAAAUAAAAGUGAAAUAAAGGGCAAAAUUUAAAUGUUAGAAACGGAGAUUAAAAGUUAGAAGCGAAAAAGUAAAGAGUUAGAUGCGGAGUUAUAAAGUGUUAGAAGUUAGAAAUACGAAAAUUAAAGGUUAGAAGCAAAAAUUAAGGAAUUAGAAGUUAGGUGUUAAAUGUUAGAUGUUAGAUUAAAGUAGAAAUCAUAAAAGAGUAUUUAACAAAAUUUAAAUUCUAGACGAUUAUCAACAAUUAAUUCCAAAACAGUUAUCAAAAUUAAAUUCUAAAACAAAUAACAAAUCAAUUCCAAAAUUGAAUCAUCAAAGCAAUUAACAAAAAAACAAAUUCUAAAACAAUUACCAAGUCAAUUCUAGAAAUCAAUUCUAAUUAAAUUCUAAACAAAAUUAACUCCUAAAUUCAAUUCUAAACACAAUUAAUCCUAAUUAUUUUUAAUAACCAAUUAACAUUUCCUAAGAUUGAUCCUAAUUAACAACUAAUCCUAAGUCUAAUCCUAAAUAAUCUAAACCAACUAGCUAUAAAACAAGGUAUAUGAGUUUUAAAGGUGCAGAAUGGGCCUCGGGAACAUUUGGCCCAAACCACAGGGAGGGUGCAAGCUGGAAAAACGGGGUGUGUUUGUGCAAGCAGCACGCCUGAGAUGAUAGGGCCUUCUUUAAGGCCCAUCCGAGAUGCACAAAGCUGUGAGGACGCUACUUCGUCUUUGCCAAAAAACAUGAACAAAAUGCAACAAAAUGAAAUACCUCGAUGCCUCGCUCAAGCCAACGCGUAGAGAUGGCAGCGGUAUGUUGACUCCGGUAACGGGAACUCUCGAUCGUCGGCACCGGAGAACCUCUUCCGUGACAACCGUAAGAUAUCACGUCGUCUAGAUCCGUUAACCUCGAAUCCACGUCCAACAUUCGAUACGGCGACUUCCGCUAAGACGUUCUGAUCUCCUCCUCCGAUCGUGGAAUUACGAUUCUGAUUCGUCUUCUCUUCUUGACUUCAAUCCGUGUUUCUUCUGCUUGAAACAGUGUUGUGGCGGCGUCGAUUCCAGACACGCUAGAUUCCGUCACCGGCGGCAGCGAUCCAUUCCAACAACUAUCUAUAUCCGCGCUCCUCAACUAACCUGAAACAAAAAUAAUCGGCCAAAUUGGAGCAACCGCGAGCGGUAAAAGCAAGAUCGGAGGUUUCGUCGGCGGCUUCACUUUGAAAUUCCGGUAAUGAAUGUUGCAAGCUUGAAUCGCCUUUCUCCUCCUUCUUCUUAUAAUACAAUCCUCUGCGGCGAGGUAUUGUUUGCUAUCGAAAAUGGCGGAUGAACCGUCAGAAGGUUGAGGAGGAUUGAAGCGGUGGUUAACCGUUUUGCGAGUUUGUUACGGUGAGGGUUUCGGUUGUGUAAGAUUGGAAGAGAGGUGAAUUAAAGUGGUGAAGGUUGGUGAUGAAUUGAGGUUGAAGGUGGAGGAAGGUUCUGUGAAUGGAGGUUGAAGAAUCCGGCAGUUUGUGAUGAAGCUUGCUUUUAUAGAGUGAUGAGUGUGAUAUUAGAAGCAAUUCGGAAGAAAAUUCUGUUAUGAAUUUGUUAUUAUUCUGUGAAAUUAUGCAGGUGUGGAAUUGGCUUUUGCUGGCUCGCGUUUAGCUUGUUGUUGUACCGGCUUAUGGAAGUCUUGGCUACGCAUCGUGUGGUUUAGUGUUUUGCUUUGCGGUUUACCGGCUUGGAAGCUUUAGCUGCGUUUCAAUGUGAAUUUGCAAGUUAUUUUGGAUGGGCGUGUUGCCGGCUUUUAUGCAGAAUUUUUGGUUUGAUUGUAGUGCAGAAUUUUUGUUGAAUUGUAGUGCAGAAUUUUGUUUUUAUUAUGCACUGUUUUGGUAGCCGCGUGAGGCUUUGUGGCUUAUGGCUUGUGAUGGUUUUGGAGUUGUUGUACAGUGUUUGGAGCUGGCUUUGCAGCAUUUUNAAUAAUCUAAACCAACUAGCUAUAAAACAAGGUAUAUGAGUUUUAAAGGUGCAGAAUGGGCCUCGGGAACAUUUGGCCCAAACCACAGGGAGGGUGCAAGCUGGAAAAACGGGGUGUGUUUGUGCAAGCAGCACGCCUGAGAUGAUAGGGCCUUCUUUAAGGCCCAUCCGAGAUGCACAAAGCUGUGAGGACGCUACUUCGUCUUUGCCAAAAAACAUGAACAAAAUGCAACAAAAUGAAAUACCUCGAUGCCUCGCUCAAGCCAACGCGUAGAGAUGGCAGCGGUAUGUUGACUCCGGUAACGGGAACUCUCGAUCGUCGGCACCGGAGAACCUCUUCCGUGACAACCGUAAGAUAUCACGUCGUCUAGAUCCGUUAACCUCGAAUCCACGUCUAACAUUCGAUACGGCGACUUCCGCUAAGACGUUCUGAUCUCCUCCUCCGAUCGUGGAAUUACGAUUCUGAUUCGUCUUCUCUUCUUGACUUCAAUCCGUGUUUCUUCUGCUUGAAACAGUGUUGUGGCGGCGUCGAUUCCAGACACGCUAGAUUCCGUCACCGGCGGCAGCGAUCCAUUCCAACAACUAUCUAUAUCCGCGCUCCUUAACUAACCUGAAACAAAAAUAAUCGGCCAAAUUGGAGCAACCGCGAGCGGUAGAAGCAAUAUCGGAGGUUUCGUCGGCGGCUUCACUUUGAAAUUCCGGUAAUGAAUGUUGCAAGCUUUAAUCGCCUUUCUCCUCCUUCUUCUUAUAAUACAAUCCUCUGCGGCGAGGUAUUGUUUGCUAUCGAAAAUGGCGGAUGAACCGUCAGAAGGUUGAGGAGGAUUGAAGCGGUGGUUAACCGUUUUGCGAGUUUGUUACGGUGAUGGUUUCGGUUGUGUAAGAUUGGAAGAGAGGUGAAUUAAAGUGGUGAAGGUUGGUGAUGAAUUGAGGUUGAAGGUGGAGGAAGGUUCUGUGAAUGGAGGUUGAAGAAUCCGGCAGUUUGUGAUGAAGCUUGCUUUUAUAGAAUGAUGAGUGUGAUAUUAGAAGCAAUUCGGAAGAAAAUUCUGUUAUGAAUUUGUUAUUAUUCUGUGAAAUUAUGCAGGUGUGGAAUUGGCUUUUGCUGGCUCGCGUUUAGCUUGUUGUUGUACCGGCUUAUGGAAGUCUUGGCUACGCAUCGUGUGGUUUAGUGUUUUGCUUUGCGGUUUACCGGCUUGGAAGCUUUAGCUGCGUUUCAAUGUGAAUUUGCAAGUUAUUUUGGAUGGGCGUGUUGCCGGCUUUUAUGCAGAAUUUUUGGUUUGAUUGUAGUGCAGAAUUUUUGUUGAAUUGUAGUGCAGAAUUUUGUUUUUAUUAUGCACUGUUUUGGUAGCCGCGUGAGGCUUUGUGGCUUAUGGCUUGUGAUGGUUUUGGAGUUGUUGUACAGUGUUUGGAGCUGGCUUUGCAGCAUUUUCAUGUAAAUGUGAACAAGAGAUGUAAUAUGUAUUUAAUUGGAUUGUGAAAUUAGAGUUUGGAUAACUGAUUUAAAUGGUUAUAAUAAAUGGAUUAACUUGGGUUAUGAACAAAAAUGGAUCAUGGACUAAAUGGAUAAUGAUUUUAUGGAUAUUGUAAAAUGGAUGUAAAAAAAU
This 14544-nucleotide long non-coding RNA is filed under the name Lathyrus oleraceus (garden pea). RNAcentral's name for it is "Pisum sativum (pea) long non-coding RNA (PSAT_LNC030361)". Lineage: Eukaryota; Viridiplantae; Streptophyta; Magnoliopsida; Fabales; Fabaceae. The record is from RNAcentral.